Molecule: ribosomal RNA, 252 nt
Filed under: uncultured bacterium
Lineage: Bacteria
Description: partial 16S ribosomal RNA
Rfam family: Bacterial small subunit ribosomal RNA
Source: RNAcentral
UACGUAGGUCCCGAGCGUUGUCCGGAUUUAUUGGGCGUAAAGCGAGCGCAGGUGGUUUAUUAAGUCUGGUGUAAAAGGCAGUGGCUCAACCAUUGUAUGCAUUGGAAACUGGUAGACUUGAGUGCCGGAGAGGUAAGCGGAAUUCCUAGUGUAGCGGUGAAAUGCGUAGAUAUUAGGAGGAACACCAGUGGCGAAGGCGGCUUACUGGACGGCAACUGACGCUGAGGCUCGAAAGCGUGGGGAGCAAACAGG